CAGAAGGAUGAAUGGCACUGGGCUCUGACGGCAAAGCCGGUCAUGACAGACAUGCCCCAUUGUGGCAGGCCUAGAAAACCUCGCCCACUGAUC
This is a non-coding RNA of Trichophyton benhamiae CBS 112371, 93 nucleotides long. NCBI's taxonomy places the organism in Eukaryota, Fungi, Ascomycota, Eurotiomycetes, Onygenales, Arthrodermataceae. The record is from Rfam.